This 253-nucleotide ribosomal RNA is filed under the name uncultured bacterium. RNAcentral's name for it is "partial 16S ribosomal RNA". It matches the Rfam family "Bacterial small subunit ribosomal RNA", at positions 524 to 776 of the family's 1533-position model. The record is from RNAcentral.
UACGUAGGGGGCAAGCGUUGUCCGGAUUUAUUGGGCGUAAAGAGCGUGUAGGCGGCCAAGCAGGUCCGCUGUGAAAACUCGAGGCUCAACCUCGAGACGUCGGUGGAAACCGUUUGGCUAGAGUCCGGAAGAGGAGAGUGGAAUUCCCGGUGUAGCGGUGAAAUGCGCAGAUAUCGGGAAGAACCCCCGUGGCGAAGGCGGCUCUCUGGGACGGUACUGACGCUGAGACGCGAAAGCGUGGGGAGCGAACAGG